UACGGAGGGGGCUAGCGUUGUUCGGAAUUACUGGGCGUAAAGCGCACGUAGGCGGCUUUGUAAGUUAGAGGUGAAAGCCCGGGGCUCAACUCCGGAAUCGCCUUUAAGACUGCAUCGCUAGAAUUGUGGAGAGGUAAGUGGAAUUCCGAGUGUAGAGGUGAAAUUCGUAGAUAUUCGGAAGAACACCAGUGGCGAAGGCGACUUACUGGACACAUAUUGACGCUGAGGUGCGAAAGCGUGGGGAGCAAACAGG
Molecule: ribosomal RNA, 253 nt
Filed under: uncultured bacterium
Lineage: Bacteria
Description: partial 16S ribosomal RNA
Rfam family: Bacterial small subunit ribosomal RNA
Source: RNAcentral